Molecule: ribosomal RNA, 492 nt
Filed under: uncultured bacterium
Lineage: Bacteria
Description: partial 16S ribosomal RNA
Rfam family: Bacterial small subunit ribosomal RNA
Source: RNAcentral
AGUGAACGCUGGCGAUAGGCCUAACACAUGCAAGUCGAACGGCAGCACAGUAAGAGCUUGCUCUUACGGGUGGCGAGUGGCGGACGGGUGAGGAAUACAUCGGAAUCUACUUUUUCGUGGGGGAUAACGUAGGGAAACUUACGCUAAUACCGCAUACGACCUACGGGUGAAAGCAGGGGAUCUUCGGACCUUGCGCGAUUGAAUGAGCCGAUGUCGGAUUAGCUAGUUGGCGGGGUAAAGGCCCACCAAGGCGACGAUCCGUAGCUGGUCUGAGAGGAUGAUCAGCCACACUGGAACUGAGACACGGUCCAGACUCCUACAGGAGGCAGCAGUGGGGAAUAUUGGACAAUGGGCGCAAGCCUGAUCCAGCCAUACCGCGUGGGUGAAGAAGGCCUUCGGGUUGUAAAGCCCUUUUGUUGGGAAAGAAAAGCAGCAGGUUAAUACCCCGCUGUUCUGACGGUACCCAAAGAAUAAGCACCGGCUAACUUCGUG